UACGUAUGGAGCAAGCGUUAUCCGGAUUUACUGGGCGUAAAGGGUGCGUAGGCGGGUCUUUAAGUCAGGUGUGAAAGCCCCGGGCUCAACCCGGGAAGUGCACUUGAUACUGCGUGGCUUGAGUAUCGGAGAGGUUGGUGGAAUUCUCGGUGUAGAGGUGAAAUUCGUAGAUAUCGAGAGGAACACCGGUGGCGAAGGCGGCCAACUGGACGAAUACUGACGCUGAGACACGAAAGCGUGGGGAGCAAACAGG
RNAcentral lists this ribosomal RNA (253 nucleotides) under uncultured bacterium. RNAcentral's name for it is "partial 16S ribosomal RNA". It matches the Rfam family "Bacterial small subunit ribosomal RNA", at positions 524 to 776 of the family's 1533-position model. The record is from RNAcentral.